AGAGUUUGAUCCUGGCUCAGGAUGAACGCUAGCUACAGGCUUAACACAUGCAAGUCGAGGGGCAGCAUGACGAUAGCUUGCUAUUGUCGAUGGCGACCGGCGCACGGGUGAGUAACGCGUAUCCAACCUUCCCGUUGCUAGGGGAUAACCUUGCGAAAGUAAGACUAAUACCCUAUGAUGUUCUUCGCAGGCAUCUAAAGAGAACCAAAGAUUUAUCGGCAACGGAUGGGGAUGCGUCUGAUUAGGUUGUUGGCGGGGUAACGGCCCACCAAGCCUACGAUCAGUAGGGGUUCUGAGAGGAAGGUCCCCCACAUUGGAACUGAGACACGGUCCAAACUCCUACGGGAGGCAGCAGUGAGGAAUAUUGGUCAAUGGACGGAAGUCUGAACCAGCCAAGUAGCGUGCAGGAUGACGGCCCUAUGGGUUGUAAACUGCUUUUAUGUGGGAAUAAAGUGAGGGACGUGUCCCUUUUUGUAGGUACCACAUGAAUAAGGACCGGCUAAUUCCGUGCCAGCAGCCGCGGUAAUACGGAAGGUCCGGGCGUUAUCCGGAUUUAUUGGGUUUAAAGGGAGCGUAGGCCGUCUUUUAAGCGUGUUGUGAAAUACUGUCGCUCAACGACAGAGGUGCAGCGCGAACUGGGAGACUUGAGUGCGCGGAAUGCAGGCGGAAUUCGUCGUGUAGCGGUGAAAUGCUUAGAUAUGACGAAGAACUCCGAUUGCGAAGGCAGCUUGCAGUAGCGUAACUGACGCUGAAGCUCGAAAGUGCGGGUAUCGAACAGGAUUAGAUACCCUGGUAGUCCGCACGGUAAACGAUGGAUGCUCGCUGUGUGCCCCUGGGUACGCGGCCAAGCGAAAGCGUUAAGCAUCCCACCUGGGGAGUACGCCGGCAACGGUGAAACUCAAAUG
RNAcentral lists this ribosomal RNA (905 nucleotides) under uncultured bacterium. Its description in RNAcentral is "bacterial SSU rRNA". It matches the Rfam family "Bacterial small subunit ribosomal RNA", at positions 8 to 907 of the family's 1533-position model. The record is from RNAcentral.